This is a long non-coding RNA of Hippocampus zosterae (dwarf seahorse), 352 nucleotides long. RefSeq lists it as uncharacterized. The transcript has 4 exons. Lineage: Eukaryota; Metazoa; Chordata; Actinopteri; Syngnathiformes; Syngnathidae. The record is from RefSeq and is a predicted model, not a curated record.
CCUUGGUGGAGCUGAUGAAGGACGUCUGUCACAUCAUGCCCAUCUCCUACCGUAUUCAGUGCCAGUUUGUCAUCGGCACGUUCAUCAAGACGCUGCUGGACGCCCUCCGAAGCUUUGCCACCCCGAAGGCCAUCUGCACACUCAUCCGCCUGUGCAAAAGUCAGGAGGGUCCUUCCGUUGACCCCUGCACUUUGCCAACAUACCGGUGCAGGGACCUACCAACCUCUCUGAAAUGUGGGACUCUGUUCUACUGUCAAAGAUUUUCCUGGAAACCCCUCAGCUACAACACUCUUUGAAGACUUGUCAGGCUGGAAUUGUGAGUCAUCACAUGUCUGAGCCAGGUGUUGCGGUG